This 273-nucleotide ribosomal RNA is filed under the name uncultured bacterium. RNAcentral describes it as "partial 16S ribosomal RNA". It matches the Rfam family "Bacterial small subunit ribosomal RNA", at positions 524 to 796 of the family's 1533-position model. The record is from RNAcentral.
UACAGAGGGUGCAAGCGUUAAUCGGAAUUACUGGGCGUAAAGCGUGUGUAGGUGGUUAGAUAAGUUAGAUGUGAAAUCCCCGGGCUUAACCUGGGCACUGCGUUUAAGACUGUUUAACUAGAGUACUGUAGAGGAUAGUGGAAUUUCCAGUGUAGCGGUGAAAUGCGUAGAUAUUGGAAGGAACACCAGUGGCGAAGGCGACUAUCUGGACAGAUACUGACACUGAGACACGAAAGCGUGGGGAGCAAACAGGAUUAGAAACCCCCGUAGUCC